This 497-nucleotide ribosomal RNA is filed under the name uncultured bacterium. RNAcentral's name for it is "partial 16S ribosomal RNA". It matches the Rfam family "Bacterial small subunit ribosomal RNA", at positions 28 to 507 of the family's 1533-position model. The record is from RNAcentral.
GACGAACGCUGGCGGCGUGCCUAAUACAUGCAAGUUGAGCGCUGAAGGUUGGUACUUGUACCAACUGGAUGAGCAGCGAACGGGUGAGUAACGCGUGGGGAAUCUGCCUUUGAGCGGGGGACAACAUUUGGAAACGAAUGCUAAUACCGCAUAAAAACUUUAAACACAAGUUUUAAGUUUGAAAGAUGCAAUUGCAUCACUCAAAGAUGAUCCCGCGUUGUAUUAGCUAGUUGGUGAGGUAAAGGCUCACCAAGGCGAUGAUACAUAGCCGACCUGAGAGGGUGAUCGGCCACAUUGGGACUGAGACACGGCCCAAACUCCUACGGGAGGCAGCAGUAGGGAAUCUUCGGCAAUGGACGAAAGUCUGACCGAGCAACGCCGCGUGAGUGAAGAAGGUUUUCGGAUCGGAAAACUCUGUUGGUAGAGAAGAACGUUGGUGAGAGUGGAAAGCUCAUCAAGUGACGGUAACUACCCAGAAAGGGACGGCUAACUACGUG